AUGGCUUUACCUGGCACAGCAUCAAAGCUGUUGACAAGCAAGCAAGAGAAAGUCCACCCAAGCCUGGCAUGUCUGGAUAUGUACAAACUCGUGUUGAUCUUCAUCUCUCAGCCACUUUGAAGUAAACCUUCCUAGUGUCCUGCCAGGCAUUAGGAAAAUGAAGAA
Molecule: non-coding RNA, 165 nt
Organism: Odocoileus virginianus texanus
Lineage: Eukaryota; Metazoa; Chordata; Mammalia; Artiodactyla; Cervidae
Source: RefSeq, a predicted model, not a curated record